CGUAGGGGCAAGCGUUGUCCGGAAUUAUUGGGCGUAAAGCGCGCGCAGGCGGUUCUUUAAGUCUGAUGUGAAAGCCCCACGGCUCAACCGUGGAGGGUCAUUGGAAACUGGAGAACUGGAAUGCAGAAGAGGAGAGUGGAAUUCCACGUGUAGCGGUGAAAUGCGUAGAUAUGUGGAGGAACACCAGUGGCGAAGGCGGCUCUCUGGUCUGUUAUUGACGCUGAGGCGCGAAAGCGUGGGAGCAAACAGGAUU
This 253-nucleotide ribosomal RNA is filed under the name uncultured bacterium. Its description in RNAcentral is "partial 16S ribosomal RNA". It matches the Rfam family "Bacterial small subunit ribosomal RNA", at positions 526 to 779 of the family's 1533-position model. The record is from RNAcentral.